This 400-nucleotide ribosomal RNA is filed under the name uncultured bacterium. RNAcentral's name for it is "bacterial SSU rRNA". It matches the Rfam family "Bacterial small subunit ribosomal RNA", at positions 355 to 770 of the family's 1533-position model. The record is from RNAcentral.
UGGGGAAUAUUGGGCAAUGGACGCAAGUCUGACCCAGCAACGCCGCGUGAAGGAAGAAGGCUUUCGGGUUGUAAACUUCUUUUAAGGGGGAAGAGCAGAAGACGGUACCCCUUGAAUAAGCCACGGCUAACUACGUGCCAGCAGCCGCGGUAAUACGUAGGUGGCAAGCGUUGUCCGGAUUUACUGGGUGUAAAGGGCGUGCAGCCGGAGAGACAAGUCAGAUGUGAAAUCCACAGGCUCAACCUGUGAACUGCAUUUGAAACUGUUUCCCUUGAGUAUCGGAGAGGUCAUCGGAAUUCCUAGUGUAGCGGUGAAAUGCGUAGAUAUUAGGAAGAACACCAGUGGCGAAGGCGGAUGACUGGACGACAACUGACGGUGAGGCGCGAAAGCGUGGGGAGCA